UACGUAGGGUGCGAGCGUUGUCCGGAAUUACUGGGCGUAAAGAGCUCGUCGGUGGUUUGUCGCGUUGUUCGUGAAAACUCACAGCUCAACUGUGGGCGUGCGGGCGAUACGGGCAGACUGGAGUACUGCAGGGGAGACUGGAAUUCCUGGUGUAGCGGUGGAAUGCGCAGAUAUCAGGAGGAACACCGGUGGCGAAGGCGGGUCUCUGGGCAGUAACUGACGCUGAGGAGCGAAAGCGUGGGGAGCGAACAGG
Molecule: ribosomal RNA, 253 nt
Filed under: uncultured bacterium
Lineage: Bacteria
Description: partial 16S ribosomal RNA
Rfam family: Bacterial small subunit ribosomal RNA
Source: RNAcentral